This 1377-nucleotide ribosomal RNA is filed under the name Pantoea agglomerans. RNAcentral's name for it is "16S ribosomal RNA". It matches the Rfam family "Bacterial small subunit ribosomal RNA". The record is from RNAcentral. RNAcentral also lists the same sequence under 1 other name. Lineage: Bacteria; Pseudomonadati; Pseudomonadota; Gammaproteobacteria; Enterobacterales; Erwiniaceae.
AAGUCGAACGGCAGCCAAAGCUUGCUCUUUGGGUGGCGAGUGGCGUACGGGUGAGUAAUGGGUGGGAAACUGCCCGAUGGAGGGGGAUAACUACUGGAAACGGUAGCUAUACCGCUAACGUCCGGACCGUGGGGGACCUUCGGGCCUCACACCUCGGAUGUGCCCAUGGGAUUACUAGGAGUGGGGUAAUGGUCCUAGCACAUCCUCUGGUCUGAGAGGAUGACCAGCCCCUGGAACUGAGACCGGCCAGACUCCUAGGGGAGGCCUAGGGGAAUAUUGCACAAUGGGCGCAAGCCUGAUGCAGCCAUGCCGCGUGUAUGAAGAAGGCCUUCGGGUUGUAAAGUACUUUCAGCGGGGAGGAAGGCGGUGAGGUUAAUACCUUGCCGAUUGACGUUACCCGCAGAAGAAGCACCGGCUAACUCCGUGCCAGCAGCCGCGGUAAUACGGAGGGUGCAAGCGUUAAUCGGAAUUACUGGGCGUAAAGCGCACGCAGGCGGUCUGUUAAGUCAGAUGUGAAAUCCCCGGGCUUAACCUGGGAACUGCAUUUGAAACUGGCAGGCUUGAGUCUCGUAGAGGGGGGUAGAAUUCCAGGUGUAGCGGUGAAAUGCGUAGAGAUCUGGAGGAAUACCGGUGGCGAAGGCGGCCCCCUGGACGAAGACUGACGCUCAGGUGCGAAAGCGUGGGGAGCAAACAGGAUUAGAUACCCUGGUAGUCCACGCCGUAAACGAUGUCGACUUGGAGGUUGUGCCCUUGAGGCGUGGCUUCCGGAGCUAACGCGUUAAGUCGACCGCCUGGGGAGUACGGCCGCAAGGUUAAAACUCAAAUGAAUUGACGGGGGCCCGCACAAGCGGUGGAGCAUGUGGUUUAAUUCGAUGCAACGCGAAGAACCUUACCUGGCCUUGACAUCCAGAGAACUUAGCAGAGAUGCUUUGGUGCCUUCGGGAACUCUGAGACAGGUGCUGCAUGGCUGUCGUCAGCUCGUGUUGUGAAAUGUUGGGUUAAGUCCCGCAACGAGCGCAACCCUUAUCCUUUGUUGCCAGCGGUUCGGCCGGGAACUCAAAGGAGACUGCCGGUGAUAAACCGGAGGAAGGUGGGGAUGACGUCAAGUCUUCAUGGCCCUUACGGCCAGGUCUACACACGUGCUACAAUGGCGCAUACAAAGAGAAGCGACCUCGCGAGAGCAAGCGGACCUCAUAAAGUGCGUCGUAGUCCGGAUUGGAGUCUGCAACUCGACUCCAUGAAGUCGGAAUCGCUCGUAAUCGUAGAUCAGAAUGCUACGGUGAAUACGUUCCCGGGCCUUGUACACACCGCCCGUCACACCAUGGGAGUGGGUUGCAAAACAAGUAGGUAGAUUAACCCCUGGAGGGCGCUGACCAC